GUGGGGGUGGGGUGGGGAUGUAGCAGCAGCAGCAGCAGGCAGUGGGGGCAUGUGUAACACGUGCAUAAAUUCCCAGCAGAUCCUACUUUCUUCUACUUCUUUUCUUCUUCUACAUGUUGGUGUUGUUGUUGUUUUCAUUCAUAUAUAUACAUACAUACAUACAUAUAUAUAUUCUCAUUUCAGUUGUUAUGUAAACUGGCUAUGUUGUCUUCAGAGAGAGGGCCUUGUUCAGUCUAUUUCUUCCAUGUUUAUAUUAUGACCUUGUUUAGGUUGGCAUCCCACACACCCCCCCCCCCUUUCCAUUCUCAGGUCACAUGGGUCAACAGAGCACGAGGAGUAUACAAGAAAGAGUAGUUGUGCUAUUAUAAGGUUUUGAUGGAAUAAAAUAUGGAAUUGGUUUUUUCCAGAAGCUUUUGACUUGAAUUGUGGGGUUUUGAAAGAUGGAAACCUGCGUGAGAAACUUUUCAUUAAAUUGUUUGACAGUUGCAUGCUUUUUGAAUUUUGGGGAUGGUUAGUGUGAUGAUUGAUUGCAGAUGUGGAUUUUUUUAUUCAUUUUAUUAAUUUCUUCAUACUCCAUAAUAAUAAUAAUAUUAAUAAUAAAUAUUAUUUUCAAUUACCACGAAUAUUAUUAUUAUAUAUCCACACAGAACAAGUACUCUUUUAAAAUGCAGAUACAGGAAAGAAUAACAGAUUUCAUCCAUUUUCAAAAUUUUAAAUACUUGCAGAAAAAAAAUAUUAUUAGUGAACAUCCAUUGUGCAGUGCAUGAGUGUGUGCAUGUUCCAACUUUGAUUUGAGCAGUGGUUUCAUGUGAUAUUUUGAUAUGUUACAUAUAAAAAAAAUAAUGAAAUAACAAACAGGAUCACGAAAAAGCCAACAUUCAUCACACAAAAUAGAGCAUUCAAACAAAACAUUACACAAUAAAUAAAGUGCCUGAUUCCUCAAACAUGAACAUAAUUUUGCAACUACCUUGUUAUAUAUAUAUAUAUAUAUAUAUAUAUAUAUAUGUAUAUAUAUAUACACAUAUUUACAUACUCAAAAAAUAUAGGUGUGGAGGCAAUAAGGGUGAUUACCAAGAACAAUAUGCAUGAUUUGUUUCAUGAGAGUCCCAAAGUUGAGGAUAAGCACAAUAAUAAGCACCUGCUUGUGUGACUCUUAAGUACACUCUUUUGUUCAACACCACAUACUGGAAAAGUAGAUUCUUUGAAAAUAUCUGAUGUUUAUCCCAACUGCUUUGUUUUAAAAUCCUUUCUCAAGCAUCUAACACCUUUUCUAAUGUGAAUAAUAUUACUGAAUGGGGAAACUACAACUGCACAUCAAAUGUUUUUGAACCAUCUUCAUUACAACUUGCAAAAUGCUUUUCACCCUCAUCCACUGGGUGACAUGGCUCCAUCCCACUUGAAGUAAUUGUAAUCGGAUCUUAUUCUCCUCUGAGCUUCACAAUUUGACAAGUUUGAUUUCUAUUUUCUCUUUUCUUUUUUUUAAAAUAAAAUUCACAAUAUAAAUUUUAUUUGAGAUAUUUAUUUAUUUAAUUAUUCUUUACAGGCCUAUUUAUUUGAGUGUGCUUUAAACUUAGUUCAUUGUUCAUUCUAUGAUAAAAAUAAAAAUAAAUGCAUCCAAUUCAGAAGAGCUCCAUGCCAAAAAUUGCAUAGAAAACAUUACAGAAAACUGUGAAUCUGGUGAGAUUUCUAAGUUCUGUGUUUCAACGUUUUUAGAGAACACAUAAUAUAUAAAAUUAGUAUUGGUUAGUUUCAAUCAUAAAAAUGAUAGUUCAGAAUUCUUAUUAUUUGUUAAGUUGUCAGUGCCACUAAAACUUAAAUUUGAUCCCUUGGGAAUUAAUUGUAAACUGUGGAUUCACCCUAAUUUAGAAUAGAGGAUUCGAAAAUUUGUAGCUUUGGGUUCAAUUAUUCCGAGGGAACGUUAGUGAAGGAUGCUGAUUGUUGCAUUUAUGCAGUACAGUGGAUAAAUUGUUAUUUAGUAUUAAAGUAUAUUCCGUUUUAAUUUUAUUUUUUUGGUAGAUAUCGGAUUGGAUUAUUGGGUUGUAUAAAUCUUUUAUGUUGAGCAUUCUUACAUUGAUCAUCCAAUUUAAAAGUAGACCAUUUCUACUUGUGAAGAAUGAGUGUAAAGCUACUUGUUUAAAAACUGGCUUCAAGUUUUCUCAAAAUGUCAUGUCUUUAUACCAGAAAAAUAAAAAAUUAUUCCCAAUAAAAUAAUAUCUCUUCCAAUCUGUUUAAAGUUAAUUUAAGAAUAUUGAAUUUUGGCAUUGUUCUACAGUUGUUAAAGAUACAUUUAUCAUUGAGGAAGAAAUAUAAGAGGAGGUUUACAUUGUAUAAAAUACAUCAUAUUAAUGCAAAAAAGAAUGUCUAAAGUUAGACACAAAUCAACUUAUUGUAUGUUUAUUGUUAAAUGCCAUUAUGGAUAGUAUCUCUGAUUGCUAAGUUUAGGUGAGUGACCUUAAUAUGUUAUAUUUAUUUUACUUUACUUUGCAACUGAAAUGUUGCUCGUGUCUGACUAAAAUCUUAUUUUGUAAUCAAAUCAAAUUCUAAUUUUAAAUUUUAUUUCUGACAAAUCCAAGAUUUUUGUUUUCCGUUUUGCCUCUUUUCCUUUUUCCAAAAAGAAAAAAACGCAUACUCCAUUAUGAUUUUAUUGAUAUGACACAGUCAUAGAUCAAAGCGUCAAUUAAAUACUGUGAAGCAUUUUUAAAUAUUAGUUAUUGUAAGGUAUUAAUCUGUGACAUGUGUUGCCUCAUUGUACUCAUCAAAUACAAAAUCAACUUGUGCUCUUACGAUAAAAUAGAUUAUAAAUCUUUACUUGGUCUUGUUUGGAAAAAUGCCUAUAUUUAGUAUGAAAUCCAUUGGAGCCUUUGUGUGAAAGUUUCAGAAACUUGGUGUUUGUGUAUAAAUAUUUUAAAAUAAUAAUCAAAUCAAGUUAAAUUAUUAUUUGAA
This 2943-nucleotide long non-coding RNA is filed under the name Physcomitrium patens. RNAcentral describes it as "long non-coding RNA (PPAT_LNC010656)". Lineage: Eukaryota; Viridiplantae; Streptophyta; Bryopsida; Funariales; Funariaceae. The record is from RNAcentral.